Molecule: long non-coding RNA, 2684 nt
Filed under: Sus scrofa (pig)
Lineage: Eukaryota; Metazoa; Chordata; Mammalia; Artiodactyla; Suidae
Description: lncRNA (ENSSSCG00040039184.1)
Source: RNAcentral
ACAUCCCAGGCUCCUCAAACUUCCCUUGUGUUCCCAUCCACGAGCUGCCCAUCUCCCCACUAUUCUUUUUUUUUUCUUUUUUCUUUUUUUAAAUUUUCCCACUGUACAGCAAGGGGAUCAAGUUAUCCUUACACGUAUACAUUACAAUUACAUUUUUUUCCCCACCCUUUGUUCUGUUGCAACAUGAGUAUCUAGACGAAGUUCUCAAUGCUACUCAGCAGGAUCUCCUUGUAAAUCUAUUCUAAGUUGUGUCUGAUAAGCCCAAGCUCCUGAUCCCUCCCACUCCCUCCCCCUCCCAUCAGGCAACCACAAGUCUUUUUUCCAAGUCCAUGAUUUUUUCUUUUUUCUUUUUUUUUUUCCCACUAUUCUGACUUCUUUUUUUUUUUUCUUUUUAGGGCUGCACUCAAGGCAUAUGGAAGUUCCCAGGUCAGGGGUCUAAUCAGAGCUACAGCUGCCAGCCUACACCUCAGCCACAGCAACGUGGGAUCCAAGCCGCAUCUGCAACCCACACCACAGCUCAUGGCCACGUCGGAUCCUUAACCCACUGAGGAGGCCAGGCAUCGAACCCGCAUCCUCAUGGAUACGUGGGUUUAGUCACCUCUGAGCCACGAUGGGAACUCCUAUCCUGCCCCCUGACAGCAAGGAUGAGUUUUGCCUGUUUUUGAACAUCGUGUAAAUGGAUGGAUCCCAGCCGGGAUUCUCUCGGGUGUCUUUGCUUCAUCGUUACGUCUGUGAGAUCGUCCAGGUUAUGCACAGGAGUUGGGCGUUUUGGGUAACAUUACCGUAUGGGAUAUACUUAUACUAAAAUAUGAUUUGUUGUUUCUCUGAAAUGAAAUUUCCCCGAGUGUCCUGUAUUUUAUCUGCCCCCUCAUCCUACUCUCCCAUUAAUCACCAUUGUGUAGCUUUCCGUUGGGGGCGCUUAUGAAUAGAGCUGCUGCGAAUGUUCUAAUACCUGACUUUUGGUGAACAUAUGGACUCAUUUCUUGCGGGGGUUUACCUAGGAGUGGAAUUUCUGGGUCACAGGGAAUGCAUAUGCUCAGCUCGGCGUGUACUGCCAAGAGGCGUUCCAAAUGGUACCAAUUUGCACUCCACCCAGCAGUGUGUGACGGUUCCAGUCGCUCAGCGUUCUCGCCAAUACUUGGCUUUUUCUGCUUGUUCAUUGUAGUCGUUCUAGUGGGGCGUGUUCGGUUGUAAUUUCAUUGUGGUUUUAAUUUGCACGAGGCCUGCUGAAGCCGGGCCCCUUCUCGUCGUGCGCCUCUGGGCAUCGGGGCCUCUUGCUUUGUGAACGGCCUGCUCCACGGGCUGCCCUUGCUGUGCUGGGCUGGUUGCCUUUUCCUUGUUGCUGCGUAGACACUUCUUACCUGACUGGGUUGCAGGUUACUUGUCAGAUCUGCAUCAGCUGUCUUCUCUUGGAGAGUUUCGGGGAGCAGUGGAGAGCAUUUCUGGCUGGCCGAGGCUCUUGCGCAUGACUUAGAGGAACAUGGUAGAAAGAGAAGUUUGAUAAGAAUUGCUAUAGAUCCCUUUAAAUGGCCUUUGAGAAGGCCACACUUUGUUUCUUUUGUCAUUUUAAGUAGUUUUAAAUUGAAGGGUAGCUGAUUUCCUAUGUUGUGUUAAUUUCUGCUGUACAGCAAUGUGAUUCAGUUAUAUCUAUUUAUCAUCUAUGUCUGUCUGUCUGUCUGUCCGUCUAUCUAUCUACCUACCUACCUACCUACCUAUCUGUUCUUUUCCAUGGUGGCGUAUGUUGGAAUACCAUUGGAAUCACAGGAUUAUUGAAUGUAGUUCCCUGUACUGUCCAGUAGGACCUGGUUGUUUUUCCAUUCUAUAUACAAUAGUCUGCGUCUGCCAACGCCAAACGCCCCGUCCAUCCAUGCCCACCCCCUCCCCCUUGGCAGCCACAAGUCUGUUCUCUAUGUCUAUGAGUCCGUUUCUGUUGUGUAGACAGGUUCGCUUAUCCUGUUUCAGAUGCCACACAUAAGUGAGAUCAUAGGGUAUUUGUCCUUCUCCUUCUGACUGACUUCACUUAGGAUGAGAAUCUCUAGUUGUAUCCGUGUUGCUGCAAAUGGCAUCAGGUUGUUCUUUCUUACGGCGGAGCAGUCUUGCGUUGUGUAUAUGUACCACGUCGUCUUGGUCCAUUCAUCUGCUGCUGGACAUUUAGGUUGUUUCCAUGUCUUGGCUGUUGUGAAUGGUGCUGCAUGAUCACGGGGGACAUGCAUCUUUUUGAAUGAUAGUUUUGUCUGGAUAUGCGCCCAGGAGUGGAGUUACUGGAUCAUAUAACUUUAUUUUUAGUUUUCCGCACCGUGUUUCUUUGGACAUCUUACUCACCCUGAGACUGGGCCACUAGGGCCCGUAGAUAUGUUUAGAACUUGAUGUGAAGGUGCAGAUACAUUUCCGUUGCAUUGAGUUUAUAACAUAUCUUGGGAAAUUUAACCUAGGAAGGUUGGAAGCACUUCUAAAAAUUUUGCAUAUAGAAGUUCCCGUUGUGGCUCAGCAGAAACGAAUCUGACUAGCAUCCAUGAGGACGCAGGUUCGAUCCCUGGCCUCACUCAGUGGAUUAGGGAUCCGGCAUUACUGUGAGCUGUGGUGUAGGUUGCAGAUGCAGCUUGGAUCCCGCAUUGCUAUGGCUCUGGUGUAGGCUGGUGGCUACAGCUCUGAUUCGACCCUUAGCUUGGAAACCUCCAUAUGCG